Saccoglossus kowalevskii is the source of this 487-nucleotide long non-coding RNA. The record is from RefSeq and is a predicted model, not a curated record. NCBI's taxonomy places the organism in Eukaryota, Metazoa, Hemichordata, Enteropneusta, Harrimaniidae.
CUGGUAUUUUGAAGUAAUUGGCGAUAACCCCCACAGAGGUCGGUCAUAGGAAUAAAGUGAAGUCUUCUUUUGUUUUGUUCUCAUUCAGCGUCAUGAAGUUUCUGUGUCUGUUGUUGAUGGUAUGUGUUCUCGAAGAACGUGUCAACGGUGAUAUUCAGUAUAAAAUGAAUGUAAACCUUGAUUUAGACAGUGGUGACUGUGAUGGAGCCUUGCAAAUCAUCAGUGGGAUCACAGUACCCUCGCCUGCUGGAUGUGUAUGCGAUUGGCAGUCUUGUACUGUGGGACAAGGAAGUUGUCCGCCUUGCUGUCAACUUUGUGGCACCUGUUAGGAACAGACAUUGAAGUGAAUAUAUCUGCGUAUCAGGGUAUUUGGUGUCGUCAAUGUACAUAAUCGAUCAUGGAUAAUCAGAGUCUAGUAGCAAUUAUAGUAAAAUUAUAUAUUGAAUAAAGUAAAGAGGGGAAGUGGUUGUGGUUGAAAAUAUGAUAC